RNAcentral lists this ribosomal RNA (505 nucleotides) under uncultured bacterium. RNAcentral's name for it is "partial 16S ribosomal RNA". It matches the Rfam family "Bacterial small subunit ribosomal RNA", at positions 28 to 507 of the family's 1533-position model. The record is from RNAcentral.
GACGAACGCUGGCGGCGUGCCUAAUACAUGCAAGUAGAACGCACAGUUUAUACCGUAGCUUGCUACACCAUAGACUGUGAGUUGCGAACGGGUGAGUAACGCGUAGGUAACCUGCCUGGUAGCGGGGGAUAACUAUUGGAAACGAUAGCUAAUACCGCAUAAUAUUGAUUAUUGCAUGAUAAUUAAUUGAAAGGUGCAAUUGCACCACUACCAGAUGGACCUGCGUUGUAUUAGCUAGUAGGUGAGGUAACGGCUCACCUAGGCGACGAUACAUAGCCGACCUGAGAGGGUGAUCGGCCACACUGGGACUGAGACACGGCCCAGACUCCUACGGGAGGCAGCAGUAGGGAAUCUUCGGCAAUGGACGAAAGUCUGACCGAGCAACGCCGCGUGAGUGAAGAAGGUUUUCGGAUCGUAAAGCUCUGUUGUAAGAGAAGAACGGGUGCGAGAGUGGAAAGUUCACACUGUGACGGUAUCUUACCAGAAAGGGACGGCUAACUACGUG